This 77-nucleotide transfer RNA is filed under the name Streptomyces spectabilis. RNAcentral describes it as "tRNA-Arg". Lineage: Bacteria; Bacillati; Actinomycetota; Actinomycetes; Kitasatosporales; Streptomycetaceae. The record is from RNAcentral.
UCGCGCCCGGGGCGGGCCAUGAGUGGCUGCGAGCCGCGCUCGACCUCAACCCCGGGUUCUCGCCCCGGGGCGCCGCC